This 497-nucleotide ribosomal RNA is filed under the name uncultured bacterium. Its description in RNAcentral is "partial 16S ribosomal RNA". It matches the Rfam family "Bacterial small subunit ribosomal RNA", at positions 28 to 507 of the family's 1533-position model. The record is from RNAcentral.
GAUGAACGCUGGCGGCGUGCCUAAUACAUGCAAGUCGAGCGAACAGAUAAGGAGCUUGCUCCUUUGAAGUUAGCGGCGGACGGGUGAGUAACACGUGGGUAACCUACCUAUAAGACUGGGAUAACUUCGGGAAACCGGAGCUAAUACCGGAUAACAUUUAGAACCGCAUGGUUCUAAAGUGAAAGAUGGUCUUGCUAUCACUUAUAGAUGGACCCGCGCCGUAUUAGCUAGUUGGUAAGGUAACGGCUUACCAAGGCGACGAUACGUAGCCGACCUGAGAGGGUGAUCGGCCACACUGGAACUGAGACACGGUCCAGACUCCUACGGGAGGCAGCAGUAGGGAAUCUUCCGCAAUGGGCGAAAGCCUGACGGAGCAACGCCGCGUGAGUGAUGAAGGGUUUCGGCUCGUAAAACUCUGUUAUUAGGGAAGAACAAAUGUGUAAGUAACUGUGCACAUCUUGACGGUACCUAAUCAGAAAGCCACGGCUAACUACGUG